GGUGCGAUGGUCGAGUGGUCUAAGACGACACGUUAAGGUAUUCUAAUACCGUGUUCCGCAAGGGCGUGGGUUCAAAUCCCACUCGCAUCA
This is a transfer RNA of Naegleria gruberi, 90 nucleotides long. It matches the Rfam family "tRNA". Rfam says of the family: Transfer RNA (tRNA) molecules are approximately 80 nucleotides in length. Their secondary structure includes four short double-helical elements and three loops (D, anti-codon, and T loops). NCBI's taxonomy places the organism in Eukaryota, Heterolobosea, Eutetramitea, Acrasida, Naegleriidae. The record is from Rfam.